GUACUACUGAAGAGUCCCGAACUAGUAGGACGAAACAGCUGUCCAGUAC
Non-coding RNA from Trichobilharzia regenti, 49 nucleotides. Lineage: Eukaryota; Metazoa; Platyhelminthes; Trematoda; Strigeidida; Schistosomatidae. The record is from Rfam.